AAAGAUCCUAGCAACAUCUUAAGCAACGUGCAAGUGCUCUCUAUGUGGAGAAAAUUACUAGCUAUAAAAUGUUACCUCUCAAGAUGGUUGUUAGGGGGGCAUAAUAUAACUUCGACUCUCUCUCUAACUUUCUCUGUAUAUAUAAUGUCACCCUGGAAAAAAGCUGUAAAGUGAAGCCAGCAAACGUCCAGAUGAGGGUGUCCUGUGCCAGCUCGUCCAUCCAGCUGGAUUUGCACCGGAUUAAAGUGAUUGUACCUGACUCCUUAUCUAAGGGUCUGCUUCUAACAUUUCCACAGUGAGACAAAAUUUGUUGAUUCCAGAAGUUAAUGGAAAGAUGCAGAAACUGAGACACACAGAAGCUAAGUUGCUCAGUGUCACACAAGUGGUGAGGACAAGUUUGAGUCCGAGUGGUUUGUCUCAAAAGUGCUCAGAAGGACUCCACCAUGGACUGGGGUGUACUCUGCUGUCUGGAGAGGAGUGUUCAAAACUUCAGGGGAGCGUCUGUGUGUGGAGGCCCUUGCCUGCAAUCCCAGCUACUCCAGAGGUUGAGGCAGGAGGAUUGCAAGUUCCAGGCUGCCCUAGACAACUUAGUGAGGCCCUGUCUCAAAAUAAAAUUCAAAAUAAAGGACUGGGAAUGUAGCUCAGUGGUAGAAGGCUUGCCUAGCAUGAGCAAGGCCCCUUGGUUCAAUCCCCAGUACUACAAAAAUAAAACAAAAGAAAUUUAAAGGGAGCAGAGGCAAAGGACAUGGAGAGAGUCCUUUGGUAGAUGAAAGUGAGAAGUUCAAUUAUACUAACACUUCCCAGUCAUUCAAGAUGUUUGUACUUCUAGUAAGAGAUGAGAUAGUGGUAACUAGCAAGAAGUAUGCUGGAGUUUUGAACUCUACCUGCUAAAAAUCAUAAUAUACAGAGCCUACGCAUUUGGAAUCUCAAGGAGGACUUUUUAAUCAGAGGUAGAUAGAAAUAAAAAGUGCUUACUUAGCCUGGAGCUGAAUGUAAUUUUGAGUUGAAAGCUUAAUUAUCUAAAUUUCACCUAUGUGAGCAAUCGUAUUCUGUUUAUAUAAUUCUAUUUUAAGACAUGAGUUUAAAAUAUGGCUUUGCUAUAAAUAAAUAUCUGUUUUUACAUACAAAGACCACUGGUGAGAUACAAAGAUGCUUUAAUUUUUUCUUUUCUAGGGCUUUAGAUGUUUAAGAAAAUCUACGCUAUAGUAUCCAACUGAUAAGUCAGUUUAAUGACACUACCAGUAAGAGUGUAAAGGAGAACAAAGCAGCUAAAAAGUAAUCUCUUUCCUUAUUCCUGCAUUAUCUUUAUAAGAUACACAGUCUAUCGUCUUUCUUUUGCUUAAUAAAAAAAUUUAAUCAGUAUCUCCUUUGUCUACAGAAUACACCACCAUUUGGCUUUCACACUUCUAGCCUCUUGUCCCACCUUUUCAGGCUCUGUGCACUUGGGAUUUUUCAGUCUUCUCUCCAUAGCCAUACAGGGUCAAAGCCCUUCAAUCCUUGUGUCCACUCCAUGUGGUUCUCAGUCCCUGAUUAUCUGUGUCCUUAUGCCAGGGGUAGGCAAGCUCAGCUCUCAGCCUGUCCCGAAGCCCCUACCACUAUCCAGAGAGGACUACUGAUGACCCUCUGCCAUGUUCCCAUAACAUUUUGAGGCUUUCGCCUAAGUUUUCGUUUCUGUGGUGAUGAGUUAGGUAUAAUAUCUUCUCAUUCUAAGGUUUAGUUAGGUAUAUUUACAGAAUCAAGAGGAUUUGAAUUGGAAAGUGCCCUAGAGAUCAGCUAAGACAACCUUCUCAUUUCACCAGAAAUAACUGAAAUUUUAGGAGACAUAUCCAUUUUGUUAUUUCUGGUUAGUCAUAGAACUCAAACUAGAACUUUGUCCUGACCCUGUGCUUUUUUUUUUAUAAAAUAUGCUGUAGACAAUGUCAUUUUUUCCUUUAAAUUGUCCCUGUUCUACUUCACAGAAUCCAAGGAAAUGUUAGAUUACAUGACAAAGGGCCAUUAAGUUUGUAGACAGAAUUAAGACCAAAUUUAAAAUGGGGAAAUUAUCCUGGAUUCUCUGGGUAGAACUUUUGUGGUCAGAAAAGUAUUUUUAAAUGUGGGAAAGGAAGGCAGAAGAGUGUCACAGUGAUGUGAUAGGAGAAAGAUUGGCCAUACUGGCUUUGAAGAUGGAAGGAGGCCAUGAACAAAGGAGUGUGGGUGAUGUCUAGAAACUGAAAAGGGUAAGAAAAUGAAUUUUCUCCCACAAUCUCCAAAAGAAAUAUAUUUCUGACAGCACUUUGAUUUGGGCCCAGUGACACCCAGUUAGACUUCUGACAUCCACAACUAUACUAUAAGAUGAUAAAUUUUCUGUUUUUAACCUGCUAAAUUCAUGGUAAUUUAUUUUAACAACAAUGGGGAAUGGCUAUAAGCUUCUACAUGCAAAUAGCAUUAAAUGGGUAAUUCAAGGCUUAAUACAGAGCAAUUUGAACACUGAAAUUUCUUAAAAGGCAUAUUUUAUUUUCACAAAAUUUGUAUUUAUUUUGAAUGUUUUUGGUUUUAUUUAUUCCUUCCAACAGAUUUCUAUUAAAUGUGUGCCAUUUGCUGUAUCAGACAUUAUGGUAGAUUGAAUAGCCAUCUCCUUGUUGCUGUCUCCUUGAGGAUAAAAUGCUAAUUUCUGAUGUCUUUUUCUUUUCUGGUACUGAGGAUUGAACCCAGAGCCUUCACAGGGUACUACAUCUCCAGUCCUUUAUUUUUUAUUUUGAGACAGGGUCCUACUUAGUCACCAAGUUGCUCAGGCUGGGUUUGAAGUUGCAAUCCUUCUUCCUCAACUUCCCAGAGUGCUGGGAUUAUUAGCAUGUACCACCACACCCAGAUUCUUAUGCUUUGACUUUCUAAUUUGUUUUGGACAUUUGCAUGUGGGCAGAAGAAAUGUGCCACUUUUGAGCAAAGUUUAUUAAUUCUGCUUGCUUUCUUAUGGCUUUGUGAUGUUACUGCUUUAAAAUGAGGCUCCCCAUGUUAUCUGCUACCUAAUCUGGACAACACUUGAAACACUUGAAAGAGUUCCCACAGACUUGUGAGGAAGCUACAUGCUUAUUUUGCUAUGCCAAUGGUACUACUGAGUGUGUUACAUAGUCAUAACAGUAGAUGACUGGCUUUGUCAUGUAAACAAAUGACCUACACACUUUUUAAAGAGUUUUAAUAGUAGAAACAUAUGCAGUUAAUGGAAUUAUCUCAUAGUAUAAAGGAGUGUUUUAUCAAAGAGAAGUCCAGGAGGCUUUAUAGAUAGGGUAAUAGCUGAGCUGAAUCAGAAAGGAUGGAAAUAAUUUCUCUAGUCUGUAAAAGGUGUGACUUGAGUAGAUGAGAAAGGCUCUUCAGGGUAAAUAUAAUACUGUCUUAAUCAAAACACCCAACACCCACACCUCAAAGGAGGAAAAGUUUAUUGUGACUCAUAAUUCCCGUCCAUGGUUGGUUGGCUUCAAGGCAGAAACAGGGCAACAGAGGGGCAUGGUAAAGGAAAAGGAAAAGGAAAAGGUGCUUAACCCAUGGUGUCCAGGAAGCAGAUGAAAAUGGAGGAGGUGGGGAAGGAGAUGCACCUUUACAGGUCUCACUGCCAGUGACCCACUUCUUCCUACUUGGCCCUGCCUCUGACCAGCACAUUUCAUUAUAAUCCAUUGAUGAGUAAAGUGCCUCCACAAUCCAGUCACUUUCCAAAACACAGGAAAAUUUGAAAGGGCAUUUUAGAUCUAAACCAUAACACAUAUCUUUAAGCAAAUUUAAAGGAAAUUUAGUGUCAACUGAAGGCACUAGGAAAUAUGCCUUUAUUUUACUCUGGGUUUGUCUUUUUUGAUAGUUUUCCCAUAGAACUUGCAAAGUAAUAUUUCUCAAGUAAAUAAAUAGGUAUUAUGUAUGAUUUCUGAGAUGACCACAAAAUUGUGAUGUAAUUCUUUAAGGAGCAGAGACAGCAGGAAAUAAAGAGGAACUAGUUUUCAAAGGCUUCCUAUGGUGCAGGUAGAUUCUCUGUCUCCUUCUUAGCAAAGGUAAUUCCCUGUCUCUCCACUGAUAGGACACUGCUAAUGCCACCCCUCUUUUUCUGACAUUAUUUUCAGUGCAGAAUUGCUUUUUCCAGCUGAAUUACUCCUGGAUCACUUUGGAUUUUCAAGUGGUUUUAAGUACACAUGCAAGUCAAUACCAAGAACAACUAAGAAAUUGAUAGGAAGGUCAUGUCUUUUAAAUUUGUAAACUAUGCCAUGAGUGGGGCUAGGAGACCAUGGCACUUGUUUCAUUCUUUGGUGUAUUGGUCUUUCUUAGGUUCUGGGACAUCCUACUGUACCCUAACCCUAGAUAGUCUUUUUCCAAACAGACACCUUUAGUCACAAGGGAAAGGUAAGACAAUGGUAAGUCUUUCCUUUCAGGAAGAAUAGCAUAAUUUUCCAACUCACUGUGGAUCAGCAGUAUCUUUCUGUCUGAUAAGAGAGAUACAUGUCAUGAUUUUAACAGAGUUUGAAUUUGUUCCACAGAGUAGACUUGAAACUAUGUAAAAUCUUAUGCACAUUGCCAUGUGUGCCUCACCUCCUUCUAUCAUAUCUAAAAAUUUCAAUUUUAAUUCCCAUGUAAUUUACUUUUGUUAUUUAAAAAUUUUCAUAUUCACAUAGCCAAAUUCUAUGCAACUUGCAGAAAAAAUGCGUACUAUUUCUGUCAAAAAUUGCAUGCAAUUCUAAAAUAAGCAGAGUUGAAGAUGUUAAUGAAAAGAGAUCUGCAAGUGUAACUAAUAUGAUCUCAUUGUUAAACAAUUCACCAAAUAAAUGCCGUGGUUGGAUUUAGAUACCAGAUGUCAAACCACAUAGUAAUGAAGAUACAGUUGCUUGCUUCCCUGUCACUGGUCGCCAGAAAGAAACAGAUGGUUAAAAAGAUAUGUAGCUGAGGCAAGGCAUGGAAAUAGGAAACCACAGAGUAGAAAUUCUGCCUUUUAAGUAACAGUAAUUUUCUAGUCUGGAAAACAUGGUGUUUUAUACCUCCUCUUAUGCACUUAAGCAGUUUAAAUGUGAAACAUAGCAAAAAUAGUCCAAGCAAGGCUGGCAACUUGCAAAUUUUGCAGUGCAUAGUUGCAUCUCAAAAAUCUUGGAGGCAGACGUACAACAGUAAAAGGCAAACACUUGUAAGCAGUUGAAUACAAUUAUGUGGUGGUUAUUACCUAAGCUCAUUACAGCUUCAGAAGGGGUUCUGUGAACUUGUGCUCUAACUAGUAGGUCAGGCAAAAUGCAAAUAAGGACUAAAUUUGAAAGCAAGUAACAUAAAAACCAGAUACAAUUUAGACUGGGAGUCUAUAAUUUGGGUUUAAAAAAUAAGCCUCAGCAAGAAUCAUCCUCAUUACAAUAAUGGCUUGUUUAUUCUGCACAACUUGUUUACAAUUACAGACCCUCUUUAAAAGCUGAUUUUAACAGGAAAUAGGAGCAUGCAAAGAGACAGAGCAGGGAUGGGGGGAAGAGACAGAGAGAGAGAGAGAGAGAGAGAGAGGAGAGAGGAGAGAAGAGAGGGCAAGGGCUUCAUGGUUGGUCAGUUGUUAUAAUUAGAGUAGAUGCAUAUAUGUAUUGCAAAACCAUUUAUGCCUUUACUCCAAAUCUUUUAAUUUCAGAUUUCUGUCACUGAAAUAUAAAGUCUCAAAUAGUCUAUUAUUCCAAAGAUAUCAUUAUAAUUGAAUUUCUAAUGAGAGUGUCUAUGGAGCUUUGUUCCUAGUAUUUCCAUUAUGACAUUGGAAUCCUCUUUAUCUAUUAUGGUCAGGUGACCAUGAAAUGAUGAGCUACAGCUGUUACAGGGCAUGUGUCUGCUGGGGCUUAAUUUAUAGUAAAUACACAUUUUAUUGCUAAUAUGUUUUUUUUUCUCAUUCAUUUCUUCAAAUAGUCAUUCAAAUAUUCAGGGGAACCUGGAAGGAGGCAGAGAUAAUGCUCAGGAUAACCAGAUGCCUGGGAUUGAAUCUUGAUCUUGUUACUAACUGCGUAAUCUUGGGCCUCUGUGUCUCAGCCUUCUUUUCUUUAUAAUGAAGGUGGUAACUCUCUUGUAGAUUGUUGUGAAGUUUAAAUAAAUUAAUACAUCUUAAGAGCUCAGAAAAGUCCCUGCCACAUAAUAAUAUGCUACCUAUUGUUAUUAUUCUUUGCUGGACCUUGGGAACAUAGUGGUGAUCGGGAUGUGCUCGAUCUCUUCCUUUACAGAACUAACGUUCUUGGGGAGAGAGGAGAUGGCAUUAGGCAGCUAGUCAUCCACUUAAUUACUUUUGUGGUAAGUGCAGCAGGAAAGUAUCAAAGUGAAGCUGUUGUAUAAAAUGGGGACUUGACCUGUUUGGGGUAGAUUUCCAGCUUCUAGAAGUGACAUUUGCUCUCUAAAGGAUGACUAAGAAUUAUUUAGGAAGUUAGAAAUCAGGAGAACAUGUAGGGAGAUUGCUUUGCUUACAGAAGCAAAAUGGGAGAUGAAAGGUAUAAUGCGGCAAACUGCUUAGAACUCACACUUCCAUACUCUGUGGCUGGAAACAAUUCAGUUACAAUGGUUUGAUCAUAGACUGAGUUUUCUUGUCAUUGAUUCCUUUUGUUCUUCCACUUAGACUCCUUGAUCCUUUGUGGAUCCUUUAUCCAUGAAACACACUGUAAAAUCCUGGGGUUUUCAUUGGUUAGAUGCCUCUGUUUUCUUACAAGCUCAUGACAAAGUCAUUUCUCACUAUAUUUUGUUGUUUUCAGCAAGUCAACUAAAGUUAGAAUCCAAAAAUACAUGUAAAUAGAAGUGCAUGUAAAUAGAGGUGUAUGUAUGUUGUAUAUAAUUUUACAUUAAAUUUAUAACUAUUUUUACAAAUUGACCAUACCAUUUGUAGAAUUUUGCAUUCUGCUUCUUUAUUGAGAUUUUAUGUGAACUUUUUCUUGUAUCAUAGUAUUCUUUGAAAAUAAAGAUUUAAACUAUAAUGCAUGGCUGUUCAGUUGUGUGAUUGAUCCCAUUUUGUGAACAUGGCUGAACAUUUUAGAUUGCAUCCAAAUGUUUAUCAUCAUAAAUAAUGCCGUAAAAAUGUUUACUGGAGUGCUUUUAGAUAAGUCUCCUUAGAGUGGCGCAUUGUCAGAAAUAAUAUUGGUAUAUCAAGGACCGUUUAUUUCUUUUUAAGUUUCUUUGUAUAUAUA
RNAcentral lists this long non-coding RNA (7130 nucleotides) under Heterocephalus glaber (naked mole-rat). Its description in RNAcentral is "lncRNA (ENSHGLG00100052600.1)". Lineage: Eukaryota; Metazoa; Chordata; Mammalia; Rodentia; Bathyergidae. The record is from RNAcentral.